CAGAACGGGUUCGACGGUGAGGGACGAAAGCUGGGGGCACGAACCGGAUUAGAUACCCGGGUAGUCCCAGCUGUAAACUAUGCUCGCUAGGUGUCAGGCACGGUGCGACCGUGUUUGGUGCCGCAGGGAAGCCGUGAAGCGAGCCACCUGGGAAGUACGGCCGCAAGGCUGAAACUUAAAGGAAUUGGCGGGGGAGCACAACAACGGGUGGAGCCUGCGGUUUAAUUGGACUCAACGCCGGAAAACUCACCGGGGGCGACAGCAAUAUGUAGGCCAGGCUAAAGACCUUACCUGAAUCGCUGAGAGGAGGUGCAUGGCCGUCGCCAGUUCGUACUGUGAA
This 340-nucleotide ribosomal RNA is filed under the name unidentified archaeon. Its description in RNAcentral is "bacterial SSU rRNA". It matches the Rfam family "Archaeal small subunit ribosomal RNA", at positions 681 to 1020 of the family's 1478-position model. The record is from RNAcentral.